AAUGAACGCUGGCGGCAUGCCUAACACAUGCAAGUCGAACGAAGGCUUCGGCCUUAGUGGCGCACGGGUGCGUAACGCGUGGGAAUCUGCCCUUGGGUUCGGAAUAACAGUUAGAAAUGACUGCUAAUACCGGAUGAUGUCGUAAGACCAAAGAUUUAUCGCCCAAGGAUGAGCCCGCGUAGGAUUAGCUAGUUGGUGGGGUAAAGGCCUACCACGGCGACGAUCCUUAGCUGGUCUGAGAGGAUGAUCAGCCACACUGGGACUGAGACACGGCCCAGACUCCUACGGGAGGCAGCAGUGGGGAAUAUUGGACAAUGGGCGAAAGCCUGAUCCAGCAAUGCCGCGUGAGUGAUGAAGGCCUUAGGGUUGUAAAGCUCUUUUACCCGGGAUGAUAAUGACAGUACCGGGAGAAUAAGCUCCGGCUAACUUCGUG
This 433-nucleotide ribosomal RNA is filed under the name uncultured bacterium. RNAcentral's name for it is "partial 16S ribosomal RNA". It matches the Rfam family "Bacterial small subunit ribosomal RNA", at positions 29 to 507 of the family's 1533-position model. The record is from RNAcentral.